CAGCAGCCGCGGUAAUACCAGCUCUCCGAGUGGUAGGGAUGAUUAUUGGGCUUAAAGCGUCCGUAGCCUGCUUAGCAAGUCUCCUGUUAAAUUCAGCGACCUAAUCGUUGAGCCGCGGGAGAUACUACUAGGCUAGGAGGCGGGAGAGGUCGACGGUACUUCUGGGGUAGGGGUGAAAUCCUAUAAUCCCGGGAGGACCACCAGUGGCGAAGGCUGUCGACUAGAACGCGCUCGACGGUGAGGGACGAAAGCUGGGGGAGCGAACCGGAUUAGAUACCCGGGUAGUCCCAGCCGUAAACGAUGCGGGCUAGGUGUUGGGGUGGCUACGUGCCACUUCAGUGCCGCAGGGAAGCCAUUAAGCCCGCCGCCUGGGGAGUACGGCCGCAAGGCUGAAACUUAAAGGAAUUGGCGGGGGAGCACCACAAGGCGUGAAGCUUGCGGUUCAAUUGGAGUCAACGCCGGGAACCUUACCGGGGGCGACAGCAGUAUGAUGGCCAGAUUGAAGGUCUUGCUUGACAAGCUGAGAGGAGGUGCAUGGCCGUCGCCAGUUCGUGCCGUGAGGUGUCCUGUUAAGUCAGGCAACGAUCGAGACCCGCACCCCUAGUUGCUACUGAGGAAGUUUUCCGAGGGGCACUCUAGGGGGACUGCCGUCGACAAGACGGAGGAAGGAGCGGGCUACGGCAGGUCAGUAUGCCCCGAAUCCCCCGGGCUACACGCGAGCUGCAAUGGCAGGUACAAUGAGUCCCAACCCUGGAAAGGGAAGGCAAUCUCGAAACCCUGCCUCAGUUUGGAUCGAAGGCUGGAACCCGCCUUCGUGAAAAUGGAAUGCCUAGUAAUCGCGUGUCAUCAACGCGCGGUGAAUACGUCCCUGCCCCUUGCACAC
Molecule: ribosomal RNA, 883 nt
Filed under: uncultured archaeon
Lineage: Archaea
Description: bacterial SSU rRNA
Rfam family: Archaeal small subunit ribosomal RNA
Source: RNAcentral